ACUCAAAGGAAUAGACGGGGGCUCACACAAGCGGUGGAGCAUGUGGCUUAAUUCGAGGCUACGCGCAAAACCUUAUCCCGGGCUUGACAUGCACGGAUUAGCCGGCGGAAACGCCGGCGAGGCCGCAAGGUACAACGUGCACAGGUGCUGCAUGGCUGUCGUCAGCUCGUGCCGUGAGGUGUUGGGUUAAGUCCCGUAACGAGCGAAACCCCUGUGUCUAGUUGCCAGCGGGUCAUGCCGGGAACUCUAGACAGACCGCCGGCGUCAAGCCGGAGGAAGGCGGGGAUGACGUCAAGUCCUCAUGGCCCUUAUGCCCGGGGCUGCACACGUGCUACAAUGGGGCGGACAGAGCGUUGCCACGUCGCAAGGCGGAGCUAAUCGCCCAAACCGUCCCCCAGUUCGGAUUGCGGGCUGCAACCCGCCCGCAUGAAGCCGGAAUCGCUAGUAAUCGCGGAUCAGCACUGCCGCGGUGAAUGGGUUCCUGAGCCUUGUACACACCGCCCGU
This 505-nucleotide ribosomal RNA is filed under the name uncultured bacterium. RNAcentral's name for it is "partial 16S ribosomal RNA". It matches the Rfam family "Bacterial small subunit ribosomal RNA", at positions 899 to 1397 of the family's 1533-position model. The record is from RNAcentral.